UACGAAGGGGGCUAGCGUUGUUCGGAUUUACUGGGCGUAAAGCGCACGUAGGCGGUUUGUUAAGUGAGGGGUGAAAUCCCAGGGCUCAACCCUGGAACUGCCUUUCAUACUGGCAAUCUUGAGUCCGGAAGAGGUAAGUGGAACUCCUAGUGUAGAGGUGGAAUUCGUAGAUAUUAGGAAGAACACCAGUGGCGAAGGCGGCUCACUGGUCCGGUACUGACGCUGAGGUGCGAAAGCGUGGGGAGCAAACAGG
Molecule: ribosomal RNA, 253 nt
Filed under: uncultured bacterium
Lineage: Bacteria
Description: partial 16S ribosomal RNA
Rfam family: Bacterial small subunit ribosomal RNA
Source: RNAcentral